CCUGGCUCCACCCUUGUGAAGUGAAAUCUGCCAGGUGGGGAUCAUAUGACCAUUGCUAUAUAAGAAGCAUGAGGAGAGUUUGAGGUUCAGGUUAUUUAGGGUGCUUUUUCUCUUGUGGUGAAGCCUGUGUUCCCCAGUAAGCUGCUUUCUCUUCAUGUUUUCUACCAUCUCUGUGAAAUGGGUUUAAAGCCUCUAUGAGCUAGCUACGUUGGCAGUGCCUUCUCAGUACAGUAAAACCCUCAUGGUGCGACUUCACUGUGAAGCAGUUUGGCAGUGACUCAAGUUCAGAAGCUGGCAGACUAUUGAGAGAGUCAGAAGAACACUUUUCAUCAGAGCAUAAAGAUAAUUACAUCAUAAAAGAAAAAGGAACUCCAAAUACAAACGCUUCUGCUUGAAUGUUUCUUGUCACCAGCAUCUUCCUUGAAGAGCCUGUCAU
Molecule: long non-coding RNA, 436 nt
Filed under: Anas platyrhynchos platyrhynchos (common mallard)
Lineage: Eukaryota; Metazoa; Chordata; Aves; Anseriformes; Anatidae
Description: lncRNA (ENSAPLG00000022936.1)
Source: RNAcentral